RNAcentral lists this transfer RNA (72 nucleotides) under Malacocottus zonurus (darkfin sculpin). RNAcentral describes it as "tRNA-Val". The record is from RNAcentral. Lineage: Eukaryota; Metazoa; Chordata; Actinopteri; Perciformes; Psychrolutidae.
CAGAGCGUGACUAAGAUAGGUCAGCAUCCCCCGGGCACUGAGCAGUCACCCGUGCAAGUCCGGUCGCCUUGA